CCUUCGGGAGGCAGCANUNGAAUAUUGCNCAAGGCGGAAACCUNACNCAGCGGCGCCCGUGAGGGAUGAAGGCCUUCGGGUUGUAAACCUUUUUGNUUUGAAGAAGCUGCCGGGUUUUCUCGGUGGUGACGGUAGGGGUGGAAAUAACCCCGGCCAANUUCGUUCCCGCCGCCGCGGUAAGUCGUAAGGCUCGAGCGUUGUCNGGAUUUUUUGGGNGUAAAGAACUUNUAGGCGGCCUGGUGCGUUAUCCGUGAAAUCCUGGCUUAACUGUGGGUUUGNCGUUGAUACGGGCCGGGNGGAGUUCGGUAGGGGGGGAGGGAAUUCCNGGGGUAGCGGGGAAAAGGGCAGAUAUCAGGAGGGACNCCNGUGGGGAAGGNGGGUUUUUGGGCCGAUACNGACGGAGGAGNGAAAAGGUGGGGGGGGAACCAGGAUAGAAANCCCNGGUNUNCNCCCCUUAAACGUGGGGCGUUAGGGGGGGGGCCCUUCCCNGGUUUCUGUGCCGUAGCUAACGCAUAAGCNC
Molecule: ribosomal RNA, 520 nt
Filed under: uncultured bacterium
Lineage: Bacteria
Description: partial 16S ribosomal RNA
Rfam family: Bacterial small subunit ribosomal RNA
Source: RNAcentral